Molecule: ribosomal RNA, 253 nt
Filed under: uncultured bacterium
Lineage: Bacteria
Description: partial 16S ribosomal RNA
Rfam family: Bacterial small subunit ribosomal RNA
Source: RNAcentral
GACGAACCGUCCUAACGUUGUUCGGAAUCACUGGGCUUAAAGGGCGCGUAGGCGGGCGAUCAAGUCAGGGGUGAAAUCUUUCGGCUUAACCGGAAAAUGGCCCCUGAUACUGAUUGUCUUGUGGGAGGUAGGGGUAUGUGGAACUUCUGGUGGAGCGGUGAAAUGCGUUGAUAUCAGAAGGAACGCCGGUGGCGAAAGCGACGUACUGGACCUCUUCUGACGCUGAGGCGCGAAAGCUAGGGUAGCGAACGGG